AAGACAAAUACACAUGUACAUCCAAGACAAAUACACAUGUACAUCCAAGACAAAUACACAUGUACAUCCAAGACAAAUAAACAUGUACAUCCAAGACAUACACACAUGUACAUCCAAGACAAAUAAACAUGUACAUCAGCAGAAGCACACAAACAUUAACCCCUAUACUAAUGGUUCCUUUACCUCAGUGGAAUGAACAAAUUUCUUGAAAGACAUACACAUAUAAAACAAUGAGACAUAUAUUUGUCCUUGACAAUCAUGACAACUUAUUAAGAGUAGGCAGUUACAAAAUUUGGAUUUUUAUUGUAAUAAAUGACUUCUUUCUAAUUUUCGAUUUUAUUAUUUUGGCUUUUUGAGGUAAAAAAAAUGUAAAAUGUAAAGUAUUCUCAAAUAAAGAAUCUCUUUUUGAUUUUGCGUAAGAAUUGACUAUUCUAUUUCAUUAUUUGGCUGCAAGACAAACUUAGCUACCCUUAUCAUGAAACUGUUCUUCUGUUAUAAUGCACUUGUUUCAAGUAUAUUUUUUAGCGUUCAAAACCAUAUUAGCUAUCCUUGCUAGGAGUUCCUUGUUGAUACAUUAACAGCAAAACACUGCAAGAUUGAUUAAUUAAUUUCUUAAAACAAAUAAUUCUGCAUACUUAAAGGAAAAUGCACAUACAGGACAUCAAAAGCUGACAAGUUAAUGAUAUCAAAUCCCUGUCCACUUUCACUCUACUUUAAUGACCGACUAAAA
Molecule: long non-coding RNA, 730 nt
Filed under: Mytilus galloprovincialis (Mediterranean mussel)
Lineage: Eukaryota; Metazoa; Mollusca; Bivalvia; Mytilida; Mytilidae
Source: RNAcentral